GACGAACGCUGGCGGCGUGCCUAAUACAUGCAAGUAGAACGCACAGUUUAUACCGUAGCUUGCUACACCAUAAACUGUGAGUUGCGAACGGGUGAGUAACGCGUAGGUAACCUGCCUGGUAGCGGGGGAUAACUAUUGGAAACGAUAGCUAAUACCGCAUAAUAUUAAUUAUUGCAUGAUAAUUGAUUGAAAGAUGCAACUGCAUCACUACCAGAUGGACCUGCGUUGUAUUAGCUAGUAGGUGAGGUAACGGCUCACCUAGGCGACGAUACAUAGCCGACCUGAGAGGGUGAUCGGCCACACUGGGACUGAGACACGGCCCAGACUCCUACGGGAGGCAGCAGUAGGGAAUCUUCGGCAAUGGACGAAAGUCUGACCGAGCAACGCCGCGUGAGUGAAGAAGGUUUUCGGAUCGUAAAGCUCUGUUGUAAGAGAAGAACGGGUGUGAGAGUGGAAAG
RNAcentral lists this ribosomal RNA (458 nucleotides) under Streptococcus gordonii. RNAcentral's name for it is "bacterial SSU rRNA". It matches the Rfam family "Bacterial small subunit ribosomal RNA", at positions 28 to 464 of the family's 1533-position model. Lineage: Bacteria; Bacillati; Bacillota; Bacilli; Lactobacillales; Streptococcaceae. The record is from RNAcentral.